This 342-nucleotide ribosomal RNA is filed under the name uncultured Bacteroidales bacterium. Its description in RNAcentral is "bacterial SSU rRNA". It matches the Rfam family "Bacterial small subunit ribosomal RNA", at positions 72 to 414 of the family's 1533-position model. Lineage: Bacteria; Pseudomonadati; Bacteroidota; Bacteroidia; Bacteroidales. The record is from RNAcentral.
CAGGGUAGCAAUACCGCUGACGACCGGCGCACGGGUGAGUAACACGUAUCCAACCUUCCCAUAACUCAGGGAUAGCCUUUCGAAAGAAAGAUUAAUACCUGAUAGUACUUUUUCAAGGCAUCUUGAGAAAGUUAAAGAUUUAUUGGUUAUGGAUGGGGAUGCGUUCCAUUAGAUAGUUGGUGAGGUAACGGCUCACCAAGUCUUCGAUGGAUAGGGGUUCUGAGAGGAAGGUCCCCCACAUUGGUACUGAGACACGGACCAAACUCCUACGGGAGGCAGCAGUGAGGAAUAUUGGUCAAUGGGCGAGAGCCUGAACCAGCCAAGUAGCGUGAAGGAUGACGG